RNAcentral lists this ribosomal RNA (691 nucleotides) under uncultured bacterium. Its description in RNAcentral is "bacterial SSU rRNA". It matches the Rfam family "Bacterial small subunit ribosomal RNA", at positions 8 to 688 of the family's 1533-position model. The record is from RNAcentral.
AGAGUUUGAUCCUGGCUCAGGAUGAACGCUAGCGACAGGCCUAACACAUGCAAGUCGAGGGGUAACAGAUGAAGAGCUUGCUCGGAUUGCUGACGACCGGCGCACGGGUGAGUAACACGUAUGCAACCUACCUUUUACAGAGGGAUAGCCCAGAGAAAUUUGGAUUAAUACCUCAUAAUAUUUUUAACUCGCAUGAGUUUUAAAUUAAAACUUCGGUGGUAAAAGAUGGGCAUGCGUUCUAUUAGUUUGUUGGUGAGGUAACGGCUUACCAAGACUACGAUAGAUAGGGGUUCUGAGAGGAUAGUCCCCCACACUGGUACUGAGACACGGACCAGACUCCUACGGGAGGCAGCAGUGAGGAAUAUUGGUCAAUGGUCGAAAGACUGAACCAGCCAUGUCGCGUGAAGGAUGACGGCCCUAUGGGUUGUAAACUUCUUUUGUAUGGGAAGAAAAGCAGUUACGUGUAACUGUCUGCCGGUAACAUACGAAUAAGGAUCGGCUAACUCCGUGCCAGCAGCCGCGGUAAUACGGAGGAUCCAAGCGUUAUCCGGAUUUAUUGGGUUUAAAGGGUGCGUAGGCGGCUCUAUAAGUCAGUAGUGAAAUCUCGAAGCUCAACUUCGAACGUGCUAUUGAAACUGUAGAGCUUGAGUACAGACGAGGCAGGCGGAAUGUGUUGUGUAGCGGUGAAAUG